This 440-nucleotide ribosomal RNA is filed under the name uncultured bacterium. RNAcentral's name for it is "bacterial SSU rRNA". It matches the Rfam family "Bacterial small subunit ribosomal RNA", at positions 28 to 496 of the family's 1533-position model. The record is from RNAcentral.
GAUGAACGCUGGCGGCGUGCCUAACACAUGCAAGUCGAGCGAUUCUCUUCGGAGAAGAGCGGCGGACGGGUGAGUAACGCGUGGGUAACCUGCCCUGUACACACGGACAACAUACCGAAAGGUAUGCUAAUACGAGAUAAUAUACUUUUAUCGCAUGGUAGAAGUAUCAAAGCUUUUGCGGUACAGGAUGGACCCGCGUCUGAUUAGCUAGUUGGUAAGGUAACGGCUUACCAAGGCGACGAUCAGUAGCCGACCUGAGAGGGUGAUCGGCCACAUUGGAACUGAGACACGGUCCAAACUCCUACGGGAGGCAGCAGUGGGGAAUAUUGCACAAUGGGCGAAAGCCUGAUGCAGCAACGCCGCGUGAGCGAUGAAGGCCUUCGGUCGUAAAGCUCUGUCCUCAAGGAAGAUAAUGACGGUACUUGAGGAGGAAGCCCCGG